RNAcentral lists this ribosomal RNA (635 nucleotides) under uncultured Marinobacter sp. Its description in RNAcentral is "bacterial SSU rRNA". It matches the Rfam family "Bacterial small subunit ribosomal RNA", at positions 870 to 1504 of the family's 1533-position model. The record is from RNAcentral. Lineage: Bacteria; Pseudomonadati; Pseudomonadota; Gammaproteobacteria; Pseudomonadales; Marinobacteraceae.
CGCCUGGGGAGUGCGGCCGCAAGGUUAAAACUCAAAUGAAUUGACGGGGGCCCGCACAAGCGGUGGAGCAUGUGGUUUAAUUCGACGCAACGCGAAGAACCUUACCUGGCCUUGACAUCCAGAGAACUUUCCAGAGAUGGAUUGGUGCCUUCGGGGACUCUGAGACAGGUGCUGCAUGGCCGUCGUCAGCUCGUGUCGUGAGAUGUUGGGUUAAGUCCCGUAACGAGCGCAACCCCUAUCCCUGGUUGCUAGCAGGUAAUGCUGAGAACUCCAGGGAGACUGCCGGUGACAAACCGGAGGAAGGUGGGGAUGACGUCAGGUCAUCAUGGCCCUUACGGCCAGGGCUACACACGUGCUACGAUGGCGCGUACAGAGGGCUGCCAACUCGCGAGAGUGAGCCAAUCCCUUAAAACGCGUCGUAGUCCGGAUCGGAGUCUGCAACUCGACUCCGUGAAGUCGGAAUCGCUAGUAAUCGCGAAUCAGAAUGUCGCGGUGAAUACGUUCCCGGGCCUUGUACACACCGCCCGUCACACCAUGGGAGUGGAUUGCACCAGAAGUAGUUAGUCUAACCUUCGGGAGGACGAUUACCACGGUGUGGUUCAUGACUGGGGUGAAGUCGUAACAAGGUAACCGUA